UUGAAAUACCACCCUUUAAUGUUUGAUGUUCUAACGUGGACCCGUAAUCCGGGUUGCGGACAGUGUCUGGUGGGUAGUUUGACUGGGGCGGUCUCCUCCUAAAGAGUAACGGAGGAGCACGAAGGUUGGCUAAUCCUGGUCGGACAUCAGGAGGUUAGUGCAAUGGCAUAAGCCAGCUUGACUGCGAGCGUGACGGCGCGAGCAGGUGCGAAAGCAGGUCAUAGUGAUCCGGUGGUUCUGAAUGGAAGGGCCAUCGCUCAACGGAUAAAAGGUACUCCGGGGAUAACAGGCUGAUACCGCCCAAGAGUUCAUAUCGACGGCGGUGUUUGGCACCUCGAUGUCGGCUCAUCACAUCCUGGGGCUGAAGUAGGUCCCAAGGGUAUGGCUGUUCGCCAUUUAAAGUGGUACGCGAGCUGGGUUUAGAACGUCGUGAGACAGUUCGGUCCCUAUCUGCCGUGGGCGCUGGAGAACUGAGGGGGGCUGCUCCUAGUACGAGAGGACCGGAGUGGACGCAUCACUGGUGUUCGGGUUGUCAUGCCAAUGGCACUGCCCGGUAGCUAAAUGCGGAAGAGAUAAGUGCUGAAAGCAUCUAAGCACGAAACUUGCCCCGAGAUGAGUUCUCCCUGAGACUUAGAGUCUCCUGAAGGAACGUUGAAGACGACGACGUUGAUAGGCCGGGUGUGUAAGCGCAGCGAUGCGUUGAGCUAACCGGUACUAAUGAACCGUGAGGCUUAACCUU
This 739-nucleotide ribosomal RNA is filed under the name Salmonella enterica subsp. enterica serovar Infantis. Its description in RNAcentral is "partial 23S ribosomal RNA". It matches the Rfam family "Bacterial large subunit ribosomal RNA", at positions 2192 to 2925 of the family's 2925-position model. RNAcentral also lists the same sequence under 2 other names. Lineage: Bacteria; Pseudomonadati; Pseudomonadota; Gammaproteobacteria; Enterobacterales; Enterobacteriaceae. The record is from RNAcentral.